Molecule: small nuclear RNA, 105 nt
Organism: Globicephala melas (long-finned pilot whale)
Lineage: Eukaryota; Metazoa; Chordata; Mammalia; Artiodactyla; Delphinidae
Source: RefSeq, a predicted model, not a curated record
GUGCUCACUUGGGCAACACAUAUGCUAACAUUGGAGCAAUACAGAGAAGAUUAGCAUGGCUUCUGAGCAAGGAUGACACAAAUUUGUGAUACGUUCCAUAUAUUU